UACGGAGGGUGCAAGCGUUAUCCGGAAUUAUUGGGCGUAAAGAGUUCGUAGGCGGUUUUGUAAGUUGGAUGUUAAAUCUUGAGGCUCAACCUUAAGUAUGUAUCCAAAACUGCAAAGCUGGAGAAUUGCAGAGGUAUGUGGAAUUCCGCAUGUAGGGGUAAAAUCCGUUGAUAUGCGGAGGAACACCAAAAGCGAAGGCAGCAUACUGGGCAAUUUCUGACGCUGAGGAACGAAAGCGUGGGGAGCGAACGGG
RNAcentral lists this ribosomal RNA (253 nucleotides) under uncultured bacterium. RNAcentral describes it as "partial 16S ribosomal RNA". It matches the Rfam family "Bacterial small subunit ribosomal RNA", at positions 524 to 776 of the family's 1533-position model. The record is from RNAcentral.